AUUGAACGCUGGCGGUAUGCUUAACACAUGCAAGUCGAACGGUAACAGGCCUUCGGGCGCUGACGAGUGGCGGACGGGUGAGUAACGCGUAGGAAUCUGCCUCAUAGUGGGGGACAACGUGGGGAAACUCACGCUAAUACCGCAUACGCCCUACGGGGGAAAGCGGGGGAUCUUCGGACCUCGCGCUAUGAGAUGAGCCUGCGUUAGAUUAGCUAGUUGGUAGGGUAAAGGCCUACCAAGGCGACGAUCUAUAGCUGGUCUGAGAGGACGAUCAGCCACACUGGGACUGAGACACGGCCCAGACUCCUACGGGAGGCAGCAGUGGGGAAUAUUGGACAAUGGGCGCAAGCCUGAUCCAGCAAUACCGCGUGUGUGAAGAAGGCCUUAGGGUUGUAAAGCACUUUCAAUUGGAGGAAAACCUGCCGGUCAAUACCCGGUAGCUUGACAUUACCUUUAGAA
Molecule: ribosomal RNA, 459 nt
Filed under: uncultured bacterium
Lineage: Bacteria
Description: bacterial SSU rRNA
Rfam family: Bacterial small subunit ribosomal RNA
Source: RNAcentral